This 697-nucleotide ribosomal RNA is filed under the name Salmonella enterica. RNAcentral describes it as "partial 23S ribosomal RNA". It matches the Rfam family "Bacterial large subunit ribosomal RNA", at positions 526 to 1221 of the family's 2925-position model. The record is from RNAcentral. Lineage: Bacteria; Pseudomonadati; Pseudomonadota; Gammaproteobacteria; Enterobacterales; Enterobacteriaceae.
CCGGCGAGGGGAGUGAAAAAGAACCUGAAACCGUGUACGUACAAGCAGUGGGAGCACAGGUUUACCUGUGUGACUGCGUACCUUUUGUAUAAUGGGUCAGCGACUUAUAUUCUGUAGCAAGGUUAACCGAAUAGGGGAGCCGGAGGGAAACCGAGUCUUAAUUGGGCGUUAAGUUGCAGGGUAUAGACCCGAAACCCGGUGAUCUAGCCAUGGGCAGGUUGAAGGUUGGGUAACACUAACUGGAGGACCGAACCGACUAAUGUUGAAAAAUUAGCGGAUGACCUGUGGCUGGGGGUGAAAGGCCAAUCAAACCGGGAGAUAGCUGGUUCUCCCCGAAAGCUAUUUAGGUAGCGCCUCGUGAAUUCAUCUCCGGGGGUAGAGCACUGUUUCGGCUAGGGGGCCAUCCCGGCUUACCAACCCGAUGCAAACUGCGAAUACCGGAGAAUGUUAUCACGGGAGACACACGGCGGGUGCUAACGUCCGUCGUGAAGAGGGAAACAACCCAGACCGCCAGCUAAGGUCCCAAAGUCAUGGUUAAGUGGGAAACGAUGUGGGAAGGCCCAGACAGCCAGGAUGUUGGCUUAGAAGCAGCCAUCAUUUAAAGAAAGCGUAAUAGCUCACUGGUCGAGUCGGCCUGCGCGGAAGAUGUAACGGGGCUAAACCAUGCACCGAAGCUGCGGCAGCGACGCUUAUGCGU